This 29-nucleotide ribosomal RNA is filed under the name Corallomycetella repens. RNAcentral's name for it is "partial 18S ribosomal RNA". The record is from RNAcentral. Lineage: Eukaryota; Fungi; Ascomycota; Sordariomycetes; Hypocreales; Nectriaceae.
UCCGUAGGUGAACCUGCGGAGGGGACAUU